RNAcentral lists this ribosomal RNA (497 nucleotides) under uncultured bacterium. RNAcentral's name for it is "partial 16S ribosomal RNA". It matches the Rfam family "Bacterial small subunit ribosomal RNA", at positions 28 to 507 of the family's 1533-position model. The record is from RNAcentral.
GAUGAACGCUGGCGGCGUGCCUAAUACAUGCAAGUCGAGCGAACAGACGAGGCGCUUGCUCCUCUGACGUUAGCGGCGGACGGGAGAGUAACACGUGGAUAACCUACCUAUAAGACUGGGAUAACUUUGGGAAACCGGAGCUAAUACCGGAUAAUAUAUUGAACCGCAUGGUUCACUAGUGAAAGACGGUUUUGCUGUCACUUAUAGAUGGAUCCGCGCCGCAUUCUCUAGUUGGUAAGGUAACGGCUUACCAAGGCAACGAUGCGUAGCCGACCUGAAAGGGUGAUCGGCCACACGGGAACGGAGGCACGGUCCAGACUCCUACGGGAGGCAGCAGUAGGGAAUCUUCCGCAAUGGGCGAAAGCGGGACGGUGCAACGCCGCGUGAGUGAUGAAGGUCUUAGGAUCGGAAAACUCUGUUAUUAGGGAAGAACAAAUGUGUAAGUAACUAUGCACGUCUUGACGGUACCUAAUGAGAAAGCCACGGCUAACUACGUG